UAAUACCAGGAAAUGAUCACUAUAGCUGCCACAGCUAGCACAUCCUUAUCUGCAGCAAUCCUACCCCAUCCAGCCUCGUGGUAGCAUCUUUGGGUUUCAAUCCAGUCUAAAUGGAAUAUGUGAUGCAGUUUCUGAUGCACCAAAGAUAGAGGCGGAAGAAGUCGGGAUAGCCAGGUUGCAUUGAUACAUAGUAGCUAUUGCCGUCCGGAGAGCUUGGACUGGGUAUCGCCCUUUAAGGAAUCCUACUUGAUGAGUGUUACAGGAGCCUCUAGGAUCUCCCUAUCUUGUACCGAAAGCUUAGAGAGUUGAGCAUCACGCAGGAAAGAAAGACCUUUCUCCAGAUGAUCCUGGUUUUCUUCGUAAAACUGUUUAAAGUAAGAUUCAAGUUCCGCUACAAUGGUUUCAGUAUCUCAAGCCCAACCCUCCCCUGUCUUUAGUUUCUUAAUGUAAUGGGAUGCGGUGUUAAGCUUGGUCAAUCUAGCUAAAAGCCUGCCCGGUUUGUUUCCCCAUCUAUAAAACCUGUUAUUUGUGUGAGAAAUUUUGUAUUGUGCACUGUCAUGUAAUAAAGUGUUAAAUAAAGCCUUUGUGUCUGUGUAUUUUUUCUUGUCUUCAUCAGAGUUUGUGUGUUUGAAGGCUUUAUAGUGAGUUGUAAGUUCUUUUUGCAAAGAUGUAUACCUAUCAUUGAAGCGCCUUUUCUGUUUUAUUAAGUAUGCCGUGAUAUGGCCUCUCAGAACAGGUUUGGAAGCUGCCCAUAGUAGGUUAUGAUCGUCCCAGUGCGGCAAAUUAUCAUCAAGUUAUUCGCCCAAUGCUGCUUAAGGGCGCAGUGUGCCGCGAUCUCCGUCUGGAUAUGCAAACCGUCACCAUGUAACAACCACGUGAAUCCGGCCCAUUCUAAGUAUCAAUGUGUAAAAGUAUCCGUUGACAUGCCAUACAUCUUUCGCUGUG
This is a long non-coding RNA of Xenopus laevis (African clawed frog), 945 nucleotides long. RefSeq lists it as uncharacterized. The transcript has 5 exons. NCBI's taxonomy places the organism in Eukaryota, Metazoa, Chordata, Amphibia, Anura, Pipidae. The record is from RefSeq and is a predicted model, not a curated record.